Long non-coding RNA from Eurytemora carolleeae, 126 nucleotides. RefSeq lists it as uncharacterized. Lineage: Eukaryota; Metazoa; Arthropoda; Copepoda; Calanoida; Temoridae. The transcript is spliced from 3 exons. The record is from RefSeq and is a predicted model, not a curated record.
UUUUUAUUAAAAGAUGGAUACGCAUUGUCUGCAUACAUCUCUACCCUCUAUGGAGCUGUAUAGAGGGAGUACUAUAAUGAAGAUGGGAAAGUUUAGAGGAGCAGGAUUAAAGAGAACUAAAUCAUA